This is a long non-coding RNA of Paramisgurnus dabryanus, 1292 nucleotides long. RefSeq lists it as uncharacterized. The record is from RefSeq and is a predicted model, not a curated record. Lineage: Eukaryota; Metazoa; Chordata; Actinopteri; Cypriniformes; Cobitidae.
CUCACUCUCCAACUCACUCAAGGUGCGUUCCAUUCGACCGUAAGUCGACCAUCGACCAUCAAGAGGUAUUUAUUUGUACACAUGCAUUUACCAAUUGAAAAGUUCUUUGUAUUAUAAUGGUCUUUUUUCACAGACUGUGAUGAUGCAUUUCCACAGUUAUGUUUUGUCAUUCACAUUUUUGUGUUGAAAUAGAUUAGCCUAUCCCCUGUAUGUCAUUGAUGCACUACUUCAAAGAUGUGAGAAAAAGAACAUACACCUGCGAGUAGUCUGUUACAUUGCCUGUGUUGUUGCCUCACAUUUGCAGAAAUCAGGGGAGGGCAUAUCACACAACAUUGCCUUGGCCGUACCAGCAUUUCAUGUUUAUGGACACAAAUUGCCCCGCCAGAUCAAGUACAGUACCAGAUGGCUUGAUGGGUUUGGGCUCACAGACGGGGAAGGAAUGAAAAGGCUGUGGUCUUUCCUCCAAAGAUUUGCCAGAGUCACAAAGGAGAUGACUCCAUCUCAUCGCCUUGACCUACUGACUGAUGUCCGCCUUGACGGAGGAAAUCAACUGACCUAGAGGUGCAGCUCCUGCAAAGAGUAGACAAAGCAGAGAAAAUAUUGCUCAAGAAGAUAUCUCAUCAGAGAGGCACCAGGUAAACAAUGCACAUAAGAAGCAGUGUUGAUUUCUGAAGGAGACAUGGAGAGAUGGAAAAAAGCUAGCCCAACAGAAACCAAUAAACACUGUCUGUAGAUGGAAAAGGGACUACAUCAUCAGACUGAUUCAGUUCUACAAGUUCAAAAUUGAGGACUCUGCUGAACAUUGAGGAAAAAUACCGUAUUGGGAGAAGAUGGCAAGAGUCUGAUUCAAACUUCCAGUCUACCCUUAAAGAUGUGGACCGUGAGCUCAGAGUCCAACUGUAAGGCUAGAACUGAAUCAAGGGAGAGAGCAGUCGUCCUCCACCUGAGAAGAAUAUAUCCAGCUUUGCUUCAGAUGGGCAGGCCAUUGCCAUUAGACUCUCCAAGCAGGUAGCCAAUUGAUUUUCAGGAAUCAUGUGAUCCCUCUUGGCAUGUCUACUUCUGCUUUAAUGACACUAUUGAAGAAGAUGAUGUUUCGAGGAGUCUAAAAAGGCGAGGGAUUGAUGCCUUACAUAUGAAGACUCGGGCAGCUGAGGAAAAGUGGCCAAGUGGUCUAAGGGGCCAGUCACACCAAAAGCGUUUAUGGCAGUUGCAGGCGCCUUUUUUGAAUGAUAUUCUAUAGGCAGGGCGCGUUUACGCGCUGUUUAUGUGCGCCGAGCGCCUCGCGUUUUUUU